RNAcentral lists this unclassified non-coding RNA (268 nucleotides) under Glomus sp. Its description in RNAcentral is "partial contains 5.8S ribosomal RNA and internal transcribed spacer 2". The stretch from base 1 to 65 matches the Rfam family "5.8S ribosomal RNA", at positions 84 to 154 of the family's 154-position model. Lineage: Eukaryota; Fungi; Glomeromycota; Glomeromycetes; Glomerales; Glomeraceae. The record is from RNAcentral.
GUGAAUCAUCGAAUUUUUGAACGCAAAUUGCACUCUCCUCGGAGAGUAUGCCUGUUUGGGUUUCAGCCUAUAAAAAAUCGACAUCGUUGCUGUUUCGCGGAGUCGUUCGUCGGGAAUUGGGUCAUCUUAAAUCUUUUUGUUUUAAGCGACUUAAAAUUUUCUUUUUGGUUCCAUGAACGUUUCUAAGAUUGUUUUCUUUACAGGUUUAAGGUAUCUAUUUUUAUUAGACGUGACCAUCAUAUUGGAUCGGGCCCAUAACAUUUCUUUA